This 301-nucleotide ribosomal RNA is filed under the name uncultured bacterium. RNAcentral describes it as "partial 16S ribosomal RNA". It matches the Rfam family "Bacterial small subunit ribosomal RNA", at positions 509 to 807 of the family's 1533-position model. The record is from RNAcentral.
CAGCCGCCGCGGUAAUACAGAGGGUGCGAGCGUUAAUCGGAUUUACUGGUCGUAAAGCGUGCGUAGGCGGCUUCUUAAGUCGGAUGUGAAAUCCCUGAGCUUAACUUAGGAAUUGCAUUCGAUACUGGGAAGCUAGAGUAUGGGAGAGGAUGGUAGAAUUCCAGGUGUAGCGGUGAAAUGCGUAGAGAUCUGGAGGAAUACCGAUGGCGAAGGCAGCCAUCUGGCCUAAUACUGACGCUGAGGUACGAAAGCAUGGGGAGCAAACAGGAUUAGAUACCCCAGUAGUCCCUGUCUCUUAUAC